RNAcentral lists this ribosomal RNA (301 nucleotides) under uncultured bacterium. Its description in RNAcentral is "partial 16S ribosomal RNA". It matches the Rfam family "Bacterial small subunit ribosomal RNA", at positions 509 to 807 of the family's 1533-position model. The record is from RNAcentral.
CAGCCGCCACGGGAAUACGAAGGGUGCAAGCGUUACUCGGAACUACUGGGCGUAAAGCGUGCGUAGGUGGUGGUUUAAGUCCGUUGUGAAAGCCCUGGGCUCAACCUGGGAAUUGCAGUGGAUACUGGGUCACUAGAGUGUGGUAGAGGAUAGUGGAAUUUCCGGUGUAGCAGUGAAAUGCGUAGAGAUCGGAAGGAACAUCUGUGGCGAAGGCGACUAUCUGGGCCAACACUGACACUGAUGCACGAAAGCGUGGGGAGCAAACAGGAUUAGAGACCCCGGUAGUCCCUGUCUCUUAUAC